ACGAAUGCUGAAGGUUGAUGCUGGUUCUUACAAGUGCUCACCUUCAAACUUCAUCUUUAACCAUUGUGAACCGUAGUAGACUAUGAUACCUCUCAGUGGCUUUUGCCAUUGGAUUGCGAGGGCUGCGUUUAGCUCCCAUGCAAUUUCAUAGUCUCCCCCUAUCCCCUUUAAACAAAGUCAUAGAAUGUCAUGUUUUAGGUGUAAGAACCUAUAAACUUUAUA
RNAcentral lists this unclassified non-coding RNA (222 nucleotides) under uncultured Strophariaceae. RNAcentral's name for it is "sequence contains ITS1". Lineage: Eukaryota; Fungi; Basidiomycota; Agaricomycetes; Agaricales; Strophariaceae. The record is from RNAcentral.